UCGGGCUGUGACGGAGACUUCUGGGAGGGUUUGUUGGGGGGUGGUGUUGGAGGUGGCAUAGUGGAGGAUUGUGUCGGAGAGGGAGGGUGGGAGCUUUGUGCAUGAUUGGGUGUUGAUUGUUUGAGGUGGUGGAUUGGGAGAGGAUGAGAGGGUGGAUUUUACAACGAAGAAGACGAUGAUGAGGGAGAGGGAGGAGAUGAGGAGGAGCUUGGGGUUGAACUUGAG
Molecule: unclassified non-coding RNA, 225 nt
Filed under: Hevea brasiliensis (rubber tree)
Lineage: Eukaryota; Viridiplantae; Streptophyta; Magnoliopsida; Malpighiales; Euphorbiaceae
Source: RNAcentral